AGAGUUUGAUCCUGGCUCAGAACGAACGCUGGCGGCAGGCUUAACACAUGCAAGUCGAGCGCGUAGCAAUACGAGCGGCAGACGGGUGAGUAACGCGUGGGAAUCUACCCAUCACUACGGAACAAACUCCGGGAAACUGGAGCUAAUACCGUAUACGACCGAGAGGUGAAAGAUUUAUCGGUGAUGGAUGAGCCCGCGUUGGAUUAGCUAGUUGGUGGGGUAAAGGCCUACCAAGGCGACGAUCCAUAGCUGGUCUGAGAGGAUGAUCAGCCACAUUGGGACUGAGACACGGACCAAACUCCUACGGGAGGCAGCAGUGGGGAAUAUUGGACAAUGGGCGCAAGCCUGAUCCAGCCAUGCCGCGUGAGUGAUGACGGUCUUAGGAUUGUAAAGCUCUUUCACCGGUGAAGAUAAUGACGGUAACCGGAGAAGAAGCCCCGGCUAACUUCGUG
RNAcentral lists this ribosomal RNA (452 nucleotides) under uncultured Phyllobacterium sp. Its description in RNAcentral is "bacterial SSU rRNA". It matches the Rfam family "Bacterial small subunit ribosomal RNA", at positions 8 to 507 of the family's 1533-position model. Lineage: Bacteria; Pseudomonadati; Pseudomonadota; Alphaproteobacteria; Hyphomicrobiales; Phyllobacteriaceae. The record is from RNAcentral.